This is a non-coding RNA of Schizosaccharomyces pombe (fission yeast), 708 nucleotides long. NCBI's taxonomy places the organism in Eukaryota, Fungi, Ascomycota, Schizosaccharomycetes, Schizosaccharomycetales, Schizosaccharomycetaceae. The record is from the annotation of a GenBank genome assembly.
UAUGUUAAGCUUUCAGUACCUUGAACCCGCUAUAUUUUCCAGACGAUCCUUUCAUUAAUUCGAUAUUUCCUUUUUUCAUUAGUAGCUCAAGAACUUUAUGGAGGAGUACUUCGUCUAAACAAUCUACCUCUUUAUAUUGUUCUUGAAGUUCGUAAAAUGUACAUAUAGACCCUUCUCGUCCCAUAUCGGAUAGCUGUAAAACAAUUAGUACUUUCGACUAUGCAGAAAAUGGCUUACCCAUUUCAAGAUCAUAUUCCCCCAUUCAGAUAUAGACCUCCAGUAUACCCAAAACACGUCUUUAGGAUUUCGCUUUUCAGUCCAUUCUGCUAGGUUUUGUUUCACCAUAUCCUCUACUAUUUCUCGAAACACCGAAAGAGGCAGCGUUCCUAUUUGGUAAGAAAGAAAGUUAGCACUAAGGAGUAAUACAAAGAGUUUUCUUACUAUGAAUUGUACUGUUAUGAAGCAAAGAACUUUCUAACAGUUCUGGGUUUAUCGUUAUACUUGUUUGCCUGUUUUCACGACACCAUAAUAGUAUCCACAUUUGCCAUGCUGCCUUUUGAGAAUGCCAAGUAUUAUCGUUUAAUUGACGGGUGAAGAAAGGAGGAAAGUUAUAAAUGGAUGGAACACGCAUCUUACUAGUCUAACUUAAGGACUUGAUAGGUGAAACAAAUUGGUUCUCAAUCUCGUAGGUUAGUAAUAUGUACAUUA